CUUUAUUUGCCUUGUACAGCAUCAAUUUUCUUACAUUCUCAGUUAAUUGGCCAUUAAAGUGCUGGAAAUUUUCUUAAUCAUGAUAACAUUUGUUAAAAAGAAAUCAGAACUAAUAUCAGGAACAUGGCGGCAUGAAGGAAACAGUUCCCUUACAAAACACAGAAAAUGGAAGCCCCUCAUGUUGAGGGGGUGGGUUGGACAAUUUGCAAACAGAUUCUAAUUUCCUCUCACCGUCAGCACCAAACUGGCUGGGACCACCACCCCUGGGUGAAAGAAACAACACUAAAGAACCCUAAAAACACCCACACACCCUGACUACCACCACCUCUGGGCCAUCUGUGGGCGUUUGCUGUUUGAACAGAUCCAGUCUCAGGAAAGAGGAAGACCUGACCUCCGUCUGCAACCCAUCACCCCACCCACCCUUACUAACAAAAGCCCCCAAAGUCAUUACAAUGAAAAAGUGGGUUUCCAUUACCCCAAAACUAACAAUGUUCAGUAAAAAUGAGGAUAAUAAACACAAAAGCUUGCUUAGUAAACAGGAGCUCUCAGCAGUCAAUGCAAAAAAAUAUAUAUAUAUGAAAUCUUAAGGCAAAUACUGUUGACUUUGCACAUGGGCUGGACGAACUUGGAACUCUUUACCUAUCUGUAUAGUUCCAGGAGCCUACAGGCGGUCGGUUUUUCAGCGCUUGCCACCGGGCCAGGCAAGGUCUUUGCAUGAUUGCUGAGGCAGUCGGUGUGUUUCCCUUUGGAGUUUAUAUAGGAACACACCACCCAAGGCUGAUGUUUUGUUAUAUAUAUAUAUAUGUACACACAUACAAAGGCCUGCUACUCUUUCUUUGUGGAAACUGACAGCUCCACCUCGGGAAGCUGGAUGCCAACCUUAUUCCCACUGUCAUUGCUAGAAGAGGAGGACAGUCGGGACUUCUUAGAGGCCAGGGACACCCCACUCCCCUGUAACUUGCCUGUCUCAUCAUCGCUCCCAGUCACCUCAUAAUGACCUUUGCUCUUUGACCCCAAUCCACCAAAGGUACCGAAUUUCAGCUUCCCGUGUUUCCCUUUAACUUUCCCACCUUCCAGAGACACUUCCCCACCUUCAAACUCCAGCGUCCCCGUCGGGGUGGAAGGUCCAGAGAACUCUCUUUCAUCACUGAAUGAAUUUGAGCGGUGCCGUGGCUUCUUACUUUUAAAUAAGGAGAAUUUGCCUUUCGGUGAAGAGGCUUCGGCCUCUGCCUCUCCUUCCAGAGAGCCCAGGCUGGCCUUUGAACUUUUCAGGUCACCUUUGGACCCAGAAAUUGAUGCUUCUGGUGAGCCAGUGACACCACCUUUCCCUUUAGGUUUGGAAAAAUUAAACUUGGGCAUUUUGAUCUUGGACUUUUUCAGUUUGACUUCAGACUCUUCCCACUCGCCGUCUCCAGCACCAGCUUGGAUGCUGGCCUCUGCUUUAGGGAAGUGAACAUCCACCCCCAUUUCUCUGCCAACCAGCUCACGGCCAGAGAAGGUAAAUUUGGGGAUCUUCAUUUUAGGGAAUGUUACUUUUCCAGAUCCACUUUCCAAGUGACCUUGAGGCCCAGACACACUCAGCCCAGGAGCCUGGAGUCCAAUCUGACCUCCUUUCACACCUCCUUCCACCUUUGGUCCUGAGAAAUGAAGGCCCCCAGCAAACUUAGAUGUGUCCAAGUUGAGAGCAGAGGAGACUUGGGGUCCCUUCCACUCACCCCCGGAACCUUUAACACUCAAAUGCCCUUCACCAAGGCUGAUGUCUGGGGCACUGACACCCCCUGAAACAUCCGCACCUCCUUUGAUUUUUGGGCCCUUCAAGUUGAUGCCAAAAUCUGACUCAGGAGAUGCCAUAUUAAAGGCAGGCCCCUUCACACUGAUAUCAGGAGCAGCCCCAUGGAAACCUACUUCUGAACCUUUCAGACCACCUUUGAUUUCAGGCCCAGAAAUCUGCCCAGUUGGGAGUUUCACAUUCACGCCUGGCAGGUUCACAUCACAUCCAGAGGACUUAAUUCCAGGCAUCUGGAGGUUUCCUUCUAGGCCUUGAACACCAAUGCCUGGAAGACCUCCUCCGACAGUGGGGCCUUUGAUCUCACCAGUGGCCCCAAGGCUCCCUUUCACUUUUGGUCCUUCCAAGUUAAAGUCCACAUUCGGUGCUGAAAUCCGAGGCCCUUUCAGGUUCACAUCCACACCUGGCCCCUUCAGUUCGCCAGAAACCUGUGGCCCCUUGGCAUUGACGUGCAAGUCGGACCCCGGAGUAGAGAUGCCAAAUUGGGGCAGCUUCAUUUUGGGAAGUUUAAUGCUGCCUUCGGAUGCCUCCAAGCUUAGAUCAGGAGCUCCUACGGAUACUUUAGGGCAUUUGAUGUCACCAGAGACAGCCAGAUCUCCCUGCAGGCUUGGUCCCCUCAGUGUCACAUCUGGUGCCCCAACGUUAAGCUUUGUUGUGGCAUCGAUCCCUGGCACUUUCACACCGUCUCCUCCCACCUGCAUUUUGCCACCGACACCACUGAGGUUGAGCCCUGGAGCAUGCACCUUCAUGCUGGGAACAGAUGCAUCCAGGUCUCCCUUCAAACUUGGUCCUUUCAAGUUCAGAUCAAGGUCAGGCCCAGAGACUUUUGGCAUAGAGAGGUUCACUGAAGGCAAGUCUACUCCUGGCCCCUUUAGAGAAACAUCGGGCCCUUCGAGCUUAACAUCUGGUCCUCUCAAGUCUCCUUCAAGAGAGGGUAGCUGGGCAUGGACCUCGGCUCCCCCACCCUCCAUUUUCACACCUGGGAUGCCGAUCUUGGGCAUGGAAAACUUGGGGAACUUAAUUUUUGCUUCUGGACCUUGCAGAUCUACAUCUGGUCCUUCCAGUCCCACGCUGGGGACAUCACCCUUUAUCUUUGGUCCUUUCAAGUUUACAUUCACAUCAGGGAUGGAGACUUGAGGGGCAGAAAUGCCGAAGGACGGUGUUUUGACUUUAGCAUCUAGGCCUUCGAUGUUGAUGUCAGGUGCACCCAAGUUUGCCUGCACUUUGGGGCCUUUCAGGUCACCCUCUAUUUUUGGCACUGAGAUGUCCACAUCUGGCAUCUUGACCUUGGGAGCCUUCGCCUUGAUGUCAAGACCUUCGACGUGAAUCGCUGGCAAAGAAAGUUCCAGAUCAGGUGCCUGGAGUUCACCCUCCAGUUUGGGGCUAGGGAGAGGGGCCUCAGCUUUAAAUUUAGGUGAUUUAAUGUCAAACUCUACAUCUGGGAAGUACAUUUUUCCAAACAUCGUUUUCUUGGUUUUGGGCGAUUUCACGUCGACUUUGAGUGCAGCAUCCGGCCCUGCGAUGUUGACAUCUACAUCCGGAGCCUUGAGGCUGGCAUCAAUUUCACCCCCAGGAACAUUCAGGUCAAAUCCCUGUUUUUUGGCCUUAAUCUUAGGACCACUCAUAUGAAUUUUAGGCAUUUUAAACUUACUUUUCUUGCCCUUGCCACCAACACUAAUUUCAGGAGUCUCAAGGUUCAGCUCUGCCUCAGGAACAGUGACAUCCAGUGAAGGUGACUUGAUGUCAGCUUUGGGGCUUUUUGCCCCAAAUCCAAACUUGGGUUUCUUAAAUUUGGGGAUUUUAACAUCUGGCCCUUCGAUGUUAAUAUCUGGGCUGUCCAUGUGUACAUCUAAGCUUGGAGCUUCAACUUUGGGUCCCUUGAGGUCCACUUCACCACCUUCUAACUUCGGACCUGAAAAUCCAAUUUUUGGUGCCUUGAGAUGCAAAUCAACAUCAGGAGCAGUUACUUUAGGAGCAGAUAUCUCCAGCGAUGGCAUCUUCAAAGAUGGGCCACUGAGUUUGGCAUCAGGGCCUUCGAAAUCCAGACGUGGACCUUUAAGAUCUACUUCUGGGCCUUUCAAAGUCCCUUCAACCUUAGGGACAGACACAUCAAAAUCUCCUUUUACUUUGGGUCCUUUCAAAUCCAGGUCAACAUCAGGUAUGGAGAUCUUGGGAGCUUUGAUAUUUAUUUCAGGCAUCUUGAACUUGGGGCCCUUCAGUUUUGCGUCUGGACCUUCGAUAUUCACAUCUGGAAUAUCAACGUCCACCUUGGGUCCCGAGACAUCGAUGUCGGCCUUGGGCAGGCUCACAUCCACAUCUGGACCUUCUCCUUUGAAGCCAGGCAUGCUGAAUUUGGGCAUUUUCACCUUGGGCAUCUUCAGGUGCCAGUCUGGGCCAUGAACAUCCACAUCAGGGGUGUUGAUGUCCACUUUUGGGCCCUUGAUGUCAGCUUCUGGGCCCUUGAGGUCACCUUCCACUUUAGGAAGGGUAACAUCCACAUCGCCCUUCACUUUGGGUCCUUUCAGGUUUAAGUCAAUAUCAGGCAUGGAGAUCUUGGGGGCUUUGAUGCUCAUCUCAGGCAUCUUGAACUUGGGGCCCUUUAGUUUCGCAUCUGGACCUUCGAUAUUCACAUCAGGAACAUCAACGUCCACUUUGGGUCCUGAGACAACAACGUCAGCCUUAGGCAAGUUCACAUCCACUUCUGGGCCCUCGCCUUUGAGGCUGGGCAUGCUGAACUUGGGCAUUUUCAUCUUGGGUAUUUUCAGGCUCCAGUCCAGGCCUUGGCCUUCCACAUCUGGUGCUUUAAUAUCUACCUUGGGACCUCUGAUGUCCACAUCUGGAACCUGCAUUUCACCCUCUAUCUUUGGUGCAGAGAUAUCUACAUUUCCUUUCAUUUUGGGUCCUUUAAGAUCCAGGUCAACAUCUGGCAAAGACAUCUUAGGAGCUCUGAAGUGCAUCUCAGGCAUCUUAAACUUCGGGCCUUUCAACUUCCCUUCAGGUCCUUCAAGGCUCAGAUCUGGAGCAUUAGUAUCUACUUUUGGUGCAGAAAUGUCCACAUUCGCUUUGGACAGGUUCACAUCAAAUUCUGGCCCCUCUCCUUUGAGGCUGGGCAUGCUAAAUUUGGGCAUUUUAAUCUUUGGCAUCUUCAAGUUCCAGUCAGGACCCUGCAUUUCAACAUCUGGGGCACUGACAUCUACUUUUGGGCCUUUCAGGUCCCCUUCCAGCUUUGGCACUGUCAUAUCAUAUUCUCCCUUUACUUUAGGACCUUUCAUAUGCAAGUCCACAUCAGGCAUGGAGAUCUUGGGGGCCUUGAUAUUCAUCUCUGGCAUCUUGAACUUGGGGCCCUUCAGCUUUCCUUCAGGUCCUUCAAUAUUCACAUCUGGAACUUCAACACCCACCUUGGGUCCUGAGAUGUCCACAUCAGCCUUGGGCAGGUUCACAUCCACUUCUGGGCCCUCUGCUUUGAAGCCAGGCAUGCUGAACUUGGGCAUUUUCAUCUUGGGCAUCUUCAGGUGCCAGUCUGGGCCUUGAACCUCCACAUCUGGGACAUCAAUGUCCAUUUUGGCACUUUUAAGUUCAACAUCAGGAACUUUAAUCUCACUUUCAACCUUUGGCAUUGUGACAUCAUAUUCUCCCUUUACGUUAGGGCCUUUCAGAUGUAAGUCCACAUCAGGCAUGGAGAUCUUGGGGACUUUGAUGUUCAUCUCAGGCAUCUUAAACUUGGGCCCUUUCAAUUUCCCUUCUGGUUCCUCAAUGCUCACAUCAGGAGCAGUAACAUCUAUCUUGGGCCCGGAAAUGUCCACAUCAGCCUUGGGCAGGUUCACAUCCACUUCUGGGCCCUCUGCUUUGAACCCUGGCACACUGAAUUUGGGCAUUUUCAUCUUGGGCAUCUUCAAGUGCCAGUCUGGGCCAUGAACAUCCACAUCUGGGGCAUCAAUGUCCACUUUUGGGCCUUUGAGUUCUCCUUCCAGCUUUGGUACAGUUACAUCAUACUCUCCCUUCACCUUUGUACCUUUCACGUGCAAAUCUACAUCAGGCAUGGAGAUCUUUGGUGUCUUGACACUCAUAUCAGGCAGCUUAACAUCGGGGCCUUUAAGUUUUCCCCCCAGACCCUCCAAGUUGACAUCUGGGGCUUCCACAUUGACCUUGGGCCCUGAAAUACUGAUAUCUCCUUUGGGUAGAGUCAUAUGAACAUCUGGACCUUCCCCUUUGGCUCCUGGAGUGCUGAACGUGGGCAUUUUCAUCUUGGGCAUUUUCAGGUUCCAUUCUGGGCCAUGCGCUUCGACAUCUGGGGCACUGACAUCCACUUUGGGGCCUCUGACAUCAACUUCAGGGACUUUGACUUUCCCUUCUACUCUGGGGAGUGUGACAUCUACACCCCCUUUCACUUUAGGUGCGGCCACAUUUAAGUCUACUUCUGACAUAGAGAUCCUACAGGUUCCGGUUUUCCCGGAAGGACUGCCAAGCCUAGGGCCUGUCAAGGUUCCCUCUAGGUUUGGUGUCUCUAUGUCCACUCUGGAGCCUUUAAGUGCCACUUGAGGGCCUUUAACAUCACCUUGCACCCCAGGAGCAGAAACCUUAAUAUCUCCUUUCAGUUUAGG
RNAcentral lists this long non-coding RNA (6387 nucleotides) under Homo sapiens (human). Its description in RNAcentral is "long non-coding RNA NONHSAT021752.2". Lineage: Eukaryota; Metazoa; Chordata; Mammalia; Primates; Hominidae. The record is from RNAcentral.